UACGGAGGGUGCAAGCGUUGUCCGGAUUUAUUGGGUUUAAAGGGUGCGUAGGCGGCAAAUUAAGUCAGCGGUGAAAUUCCACAGCUCAACUGUGGAACUGCCAUUGAUACUGGUUUGCUUGAGUACAGAUGAGGUAGGCGGAAUUGACAGUGUAGCGGUGAAAUGCUUAGAUAUUGUCAAGAACACCUAUUGCGAAGGCAGCUUACUAAACUGUAACUGACGCUGAGGCACGAAAGCGUGGGGAUCAAACAG
Molecule: ribosomal RNA, 252 nt
Filed under: uncultured bacterium
Lineage: Bacteria
Description: partial 16S ribosomal RNA
Rfam family: Bacterial small subunit ribosomal RNA
Source: RNAcentral